CUCUCAUAACCACAACAAAAACCAGAGCCACUUGUUCGUCCUUUCACUGAAGCCCAACAGACUGGCGUGGGUGCCCGCUUUGCUUUCCCUAGAAGGCCUCAUAAAGGAUGAUACUGAAGAAAUCCCCCCAACCCCAAAGAAAUAGACUGCAGCACUGAUUGGACGACUUUGGGCAGCAGCAGGGGGUGUCCCUGGACUCCGUGCCUGUGUGGGAACACGAGAUGGGCCUCUGGGACAGGGAGGAGCCACCUCCCCAGCACCACAUCCAGACAGGGGUCCACAUUGCAGGAUCCGCAGAGAAGCAGGAAAUGGUGCAGGAGGAUCUAACCUGGAUGCAGGGUAUGUCUAGAGGUCAGUUUGGACAGGGACAGGAACCUCUAGACAUGUUUUUCUGGGUGAACGAGAUAAGCGGAGAAAUCACCUACCCCCCGCAGAAGGCAGAUGCACCUGCUGUUUCUCCUGAGAGCCCACAAAAGAAGCCCCCAUUUCAGCCCAGGAGUGUGCAGGAGGCUCCUUGCAGUCCCCAGGGCCCGCCUGCACAGAGGCCUGCCCUUGCACCUCCAUCUAAGCCUUCUCUGAAAGACUCAGGCUCAAGAAACCCCUGCCCAUCUGCACCCACCUGGGCCAGGCCAAAGCCGGAGGAGUGAGGAGCCCCCACCGUUCUCAGCAAUCCCUGUCACCAUCUCAUCACCAGGAGUGACUCUGCCCAUACUCGGACCCCUGGGACCAGCCCUUCAGCCACCGGUCUCGACCUCUCCUCUCAGCCCUUCUGCACCCUGGGCCUUCACCUGCAAGCUGAACAAUGUCCUUACUGGGAAUAACUGGUUUUCCUUUUGAAUCUUAAGAAAAUUUGUCUGGCUACACUCUUUAAGCACCUUCCUGAGCCACCCGUGGCCAGGCUCUGCUGGCCGCAUCUGCCUGGCCCCAUCUACCUUCCCUGGAAGCACAGGACUCACCCCAGGGGUCUCACAGGAACAUGCCCAGUGCUUUCAAACCCAGUAAAAUUUUACUUAGAUUUUGA
Homo sapiens (human) is the source of this 1021-nucleotide RNA transcript. It is a transcript of the gene named chromosome 3 open reading frame 86, pseudogene, with no coding region annotated. The transcript has 4 exons. NCBI's taxonomy places the organism in Eukaryota, Metazoa, Chordata, Mammalia, Primates, Hominidae. The record is from RefSeq and is marked validated.